This 496-nucleotide ribosomal RNA is filed under the name uncultured bacterium. Its description in RNAcentral is "partial 16S ribosomal RNA". It matches the Rfam family "Bacterial small subunit ribosomal RNA", at positions 29 to 507 of the family's 1533-position model. The record is from RNAcentral.
ACGAACGCUGGCGGCGUGCCUAAUACAUGCAAGUAGAACGCUGAAGAGAGGAGCUUGCUCUUCUUGGAUGAGUUGCGAACGGGUGAGUAACGCGUAGGUAACCUGCCUUGUAGCGGGGGAUAACUAUUGGAAACGAUAGCUAAUACCGCAUAACAAUGGAUGACACAUGUCAUUUAUUUGAAAGGGGCAAUUGCUCCACUACAAGAUGGACCUGCGUUGUAUUAGCUAGUAGGUGAGGUAAUGGCUCACCUAGGCGACGAUACAUAGCCGACCUGAGAGGGUGGUCGGCCACACUGGGACUGUGACACGGCCCAGACUCCUUCGGGAGGCAGCAGUAGGGAAUCUUCGGCAAUGGGGGCAACCCUGACCGAGCAACGCCGCGUGAGGGAAGAAGGUUGUCGGAUCGUAAAGUUCUGUUGUAAGUCAAGAACGGGUGUGAGAGUGGAAAGUUCACACUGUGACGGUAGCUUACCAGAAAGGGACGGCUAACUACGUG